UGGUGGUUGCAGGUCAUGAAACACAAUUCCUUUAUACAAUACCUUUCCAUUUUUAUUGCUUUAAUUUUUUUCAUUUUAGCCGCUGAAUGAAGCUGGAACAGAACAGAUUGGAAUUUUAGUGUCACAACAUCUGGCUGGCUGGACGAUGAAACAUCCCUCUGUGGACACAGACGUUGCGUCAGGUUUUUAUCCGUAGAUUCUUCCUGGGAUAAUAACUUUGCAACCAACACUGUGACUUUGAUAGCUAGCAGUUGAGUAGCCUUUCAAUUCCAAACAAAAGAAGUCAUGAUUACUCAAUUGACAUGACACUUUGUAUGGCUGGUCCGGGAGUAAUGCUGUUCGAAGUAUCAUGUGUUAGUACAGGCUGACAAGAAUCACAAACACAUUGUAAACUAUAAUACGGUAAGAAAAUACCUUGGAAUUGGAAGAAAUGGCAAUUUUUAUUAUAUAAUUUAUUAUAUUUAUAACAGGUGUGUAAAAACCAUUUUCUAGCCCAUUUAUCUAUUUUUAGCCUGUUUAUUAUAUUUAUACAAUAUCAUACCAUUUUUAUUGUAUAAUUUUUGUCUGUUUAGCCGCCGAAUGGAGCUGGAACAGGAGAGAUAUGAAUUGUAACAGUAAGACAUGAUUGGCUGGACGUUUCAACGUUUCUGUGAGAUUAUAGACUUAUUUAGUUAUAUAAAUCAUAUAGAUUAAUUUAAAGAUUGAAAAAGGAGUUAUAUUAUUAUGGUAGGAUAAUUUUGUUUUUGUACCAACUGACGAGAAUAACAAAAUUUUGUAUAACUUAUUAUGCACCCAUGGCAAAAUUUUGUAAAUUAUUGAUUGUCAUUCAGUGAAAAGGUUGGAUUAGCAUAUAGAUAGAGAUAGAUAUAAUGACAUACAGAUAAAUAAGUUAAUAGUUAUUCCAAGUCAGAACAGGUAAAUAAUCAAGUAAUUGCAGUAUUUGUUUUUUAAUGGUAUUUUGCAGGUACAAGUCUCACAUACAUAUUUCAACUGUAUUGAUAAAAUAUUCAAUGCUUAAUAAUUUUACUUCCAUUUAAUAACAGGUUAGUAAUGUGAAAUUUUUUACAUGGUAACAUGAUAAAUACCAAAAGUGAAGAAAUCUAGAAGUCACAAGGAACAUAAAUUUGAAAAACGGUCCGAGUAAACACUUCAGCACCCUCUCACACACGGACUGGAAAAUGGUCGUUUCCUAAAGAAAUGGAAUACUAUUGGCGGGUAAUCCUGAUCUCUGGGGCUGAAGAGGACACUGGACAACCAGAGUCGCCGUUGCAGCCACUGGAAUAUCACCCAGGAUUUUGAGGAAGGCUACAUCUCCACCGAAGAGGACCGUUGGUCAACGAGCGUUAUCGCCAGGAUCUUCGCCCAAAAUUCCAAAGGGGAAGGCAACACCACCGAGGAGGACUACAGGACGUUGGGGGUCGCCGCUGCAGUCGCCAAGGAUUGCCAGGUAUCACUUUAACAAUUUUCAGUGUUUAAUCGUGUUCAUUUAUGUAUGUAGGAUGGUUAGAUCACCACCGAGGUGGGUCACUAGACAACAAGGUUCGCUGUCGGAACCACCAGGAAUCGUCGCCCAAAAUUGUCAAGUAUUUAGUUGAAAGUAUUAGGUUAUGAAUUAUGUUUUUUUUUUUUUUUUUGAUGUAUUUAGGAGGGCAGGACCACCAUCGAAGAGGAUGCUGGGCGUCGAGGAUCGCCGCUGUAGCAACGAGAUUGUCGGCAUAGAGGGCCUCACCAUCACCGAAGAGGGCGCUGGAGUACCGAUAUCGACGCCGUGGAUGUUUCAGGUAUAUCAUUUACUCGUUUAAUUGUCGAUUCAUAUUUUUUUUAAUGUAUUUAAGAGGGCUUCAUCUUCGCCGUCGGAGCUACAAGGAUUGUCGCCCAAUAUUGCCAAGAGGGCGCAAUCAUCGCCGAAGACGAUCACUGGCCAACGUGGUUCGCCGUAGAAGUCACCAGUAUCGUCGGCUAAAAUCGUCAAGUGGGCCGCACCAUCAUCGAAGAGGAUGCCGGACAUUGAGGGUCGUUGCUGGAGGAACGACAUUGUCCGCAAUGGAGGUUUUAGGAGGGUUCCGUCGUCGCCGAAGAGGACUACUGAAUGUCGUGGAUCGUCGUUGGAGCAACGGGAAUCUCCGCCCAUCCCCGAGCUACACGCCCAUUAGGUCGAUGGAGGAAAAAAGAUGGUACGGUUGAGUAUUGCCUAUUGGCAUUUUUCUACUUUAUUCCGCGUUAUUCGUGUAUGGUAGAAACUGUUGCUCUUGUCAUUUAUUCCUUCCCGUUAUUUUCCCUUAAACAUUACGGCGUACGGUUUAACUUUCACCGAGGACGCAAAUUCACUACACCUAUAGACCACGGUUCGUUCACGGUUUGUUUGCGUUUUUGCACGGUUUGUUUGCGUUUUUUACACGGUUUGGGAUUAGUGGAUCGGGUAAUGUAGUUCUUCUUUCAUUGGUUUCAUGCCAAGUAUUUAGUUGGUGCAGGUUUACUAACACUUGCUACUUCUAAAAUAAAAAGUAAAACAAAUUAAAUAUAUUUUAUGUCUGCAUGCUCUUUUUUGAGUAUGGUUUCGUGACCACUGUAAUACAGGAAUAAAUUAAUAAUCGCGUGCGGUCUGGUUGCUAACCCCGAUUUGACAACCCGAUAAAAACGUGAUGGGGCAGUAACCCUUCUAACCUGCCCCAUAGACAAGAAUAAAUAAUUCGCUGAACAACAAACCGGUUCGAGCGAAACGGGUUUGUUGGGCUCAUUGGCCCUACAGUUUUUCUCAACGGAUUUGGAGGUAU
Long non-coding RNA from Daphnia carinata, 2774 nucleotides. RefSeq lists it as uncharacterized. The transcript is spliced from 10 exons. The record is from RefSeq and is a predicted model, not a curated record. Lineage: Eukaryota; Metazoa; Arthropoda; Branchiopoda; Diplostraca; Daphniidae.